UGCUACAGCAUAGUUCUCAACACCUGAGA
This 29-nucleotide non-coding RNA is filed under the name Rattus norvegicus (Norway rat). Lineage: Eukaryota; Metazoa; Chordata; Mammalia; Rodentia; Muridae. The record is from RNAcentral.